AACGAACGCUGGCGGCGUGCCUAACACAUGCAAGUCGAACGCGAACGGGUCUUCGGACCCUAGUAGAGUGGCGCACGGGUGAGUAACACGUGGGCAAUCUACCCAGGGAUUUGGGAUAACCAGGGGAAACCCUGGCUAAUACCGAAUACGUCCACGAGGCCCUCGGUCCUCGUGGAGAAAGGUGGCCUCUUCUUGAAAGCUGCCGUUCCUGGAUGAGCCCGCGGACCAUUAGCUUGUUGGUGAGGUAACGGCUCACCAAGGCUGUGAUGGUUAGCUGGUCUGAGAGGAUGAUCAGCCACACUGGGACUGACACACGGCCCAGACUCCUACGGGAGGCAGCAGUGGGGAAUCUUGCGCAAUGGGGGAAACCCUGACGCAGCAACGCCGCGUGGGUGAUGAAGGCCCUUGGGUCGUAAAGCCCUGUCUGGAGGAAAGAAGCCCGCUCUCGCUAAUAUCGGGGGCGGAUGACGGUACCCCUGAAGGAAGCACCGGCUAACUCCGUGCCAGCAGCCG
RNAcentral lists this ribosomal RNA (513 nucleotides) under uncultured bacterium. Its description in RNAcentral is "bacterial SSU rRNA". It matches the Rfam family "Bacterial small subunit ribosomal RNA", at positions 28 to 517 of the family's 1533-position model. The record is from RNAcentral.